Manis javanica (Malayan pangolin) is the source of this 351-nucleotide non-coding RNA. The record is from RefSeq and is a predicted model, not a curated record. Lineage: Eukaryota; Metazoa; Chordata; Mammalia; Pholidota; Manidae.
CUGGAGCCGAAGGCGGCGGGAGCUGGAACUGGUCAAUGGAGACUGUCCGAACUGGGCAGACGAGGAGCGGGACCGACCGAGAGAGUCGGCAGAGUCGGCCAGAUCUGCAGAUGAAGGAGCACAACCUUAGAAAGGUUAAGUAACGUUUCAGAUCACAAAUCCAAAAAUGCUGGAUCCAAGAUCCAGACUCAGAUAUAACUUCUAAAAUGUAAAUUCUGUACUCUUGUGGUUCUUCUCUUUGUCUUCGGUUUUCAGCUGUUGUACUGUCUUGUGAACCAGUGUGGUUUUCUUUUCAAUUGCCUUGUCUGGAGUUUGGAACACCUUCUGAAUCUGUGGUUUGGUAUCUUCCAU